AAUAAAUACAGCCAUGAGUUUUCGUGCCCAACUUUGAUCGUCUAUUUUAUUUGAAAUUUUUUUAUAAUUAACAUUUUUGUUGCUAUGAGAUGAUAAAACAUGAAUAGUACUUUACUCGUGACUUAUGUUUUUAGUUUUUUCACAAAAAAUUUCAAAUAAGACGAACGGUCAAAGUUGGGCGCGGAAAACCAUGGCUACACUUAUU
This 205-nucleotide microRNA precursor is filed under the name Oryza barthii. RNAcentral's name for it is "MIR812 microRNA precursor family". It matches the Rfam family "MIR812 microRNA precursor family". Lineage: Eukaryota; Viridiplantae; Streptophyta; Magnoliopsida; Poales; Poaceae. The record is from Rfam by way of RNAcentral.